RNAcentral lists this unclassified non-coding RNA (768 nucleotides) under Hevea brasiliensis (rubber tree). The record is from RNAcentral. Lineage: Eukaryota; Viridiplantae; Streptophyta; Magnoliopsida; Malpighiales; Euphorbiaceae.
AAGAGAUUCAUUGGAAGAACAGAGUGCUAAAUCUAGCUCACUUGCAAACAAUUCUUACCAAAGUCUUUGUUAGUGCUCUAGGGUUUCAUUAAAAGAUACAAUCAAUUCACUAGGAUCUGGACAUGUCUUCUCAUUGAUAUGUUCAUGUCCAACUUUUUUAACUGAUGACAGCAACCUGGGAAUCAGCCAAUUGUCUAUUAAGUUCUAUACCAUCUUUCCCACUCGCAGGAAUCUCUGGUUUAACUUUUAUUUUAACUGGUUUUCCAAUCUUUGAUUUGUCUUCCAUUCUCGCUAAUCCAAGAGCCCUUUCACAUAUCACACCAGAGCCAAUGCAGGUUCUUCCCUGGCAAAAGGCUGCAAAUGGGUAGAUAACGUUGGCAUAAUGCCCAGAAGCAACAUAAUCAAAUUCCAUACUGCGGAUGGAUCCAUUAAUGCACAUGCAACCAAAAAAAAUACAUAAUUUGAAAGAGGGAGUAAAACAUGGAGUCAACUCAUCAAUGGAUAAUUUCCACCUUCAAGUUCAAUUGAUACAUACCAAACUUAGUCCUUGUAUUGCAAAGUACAUCUGGAUUGGGAGUACGGCCAGGGGUGGAACUACUAAAGGGUUGAAGGCCCCCCCUAAAAUUUUUAUAAUUAAAAUUUCACUUAAAAAUUUUAAUAUAUUUUUUAAUAAAAUUACUGUUUGCCCCUCCAAAACUUUUAAAAUUAAAAUUUUAUCAAUAAAUUUUACUGUAUUUUUUAAAGAAUUUCUGUUUGCUCCUCCAAUUU